This 433-nucleotide ribosomal RNA is filed under the name uncultured bacterium. RNAcentral describes it as "partial 16S ribosomal RNA". It matches the Rfam family "Bacterial small subunit ribosomal RNA", at positions 29 to 507 of the family's 1533-position model. The record is from RNAcentral.
AGCGAACGCUCGCGGCAGGCCUAACACAUGCAAGUCGAACGAACUCUUCGGAGUUAGUGGCGGACGGGUGAGUAACACGUGGGAACGUGCCUUUAGGUUCGGAAUAACUCAGGGAAACUUGAGCUAAUACCGGAUGUGCCCUUCGGGGGAAAGAUUUAUCGCCUUUAGAGCGGCCCGCGUCUGAUUAGCUAGUUGGUGAGGUAAAGGCUCACCAAGGCGACGAUCAGUAGCUGGUCUGAGAGGAUGAUCAGCCACAUUGGGACUGAGACACGGCCCAAACUCCUACGGGAGGCAGCAGUGGGGAAUCUUGCGCAAUGGGCGAAAGCCUGACGCAGCCAUGCCGCGUGAAUGAUGAAGGUCUUAGGAUUGUAAAAUUCUUUCACCGGGGACGAUAAUGACGGUACCCGGAGAAGAAGCCCCGGCUAACUUCGUG